RNAcentral lists this ribosomal RNA (226 nucleotides) under Clostridioides difficile. RNAcentral's name for it is "partial 23S ribosomal RNA". It matches the Rfam family "Bacterial large subunit ribosomal RNA", at positions 883 to 1109 of the family's 2925-position model. Lineage: Bacteria; Bacillati; Bacillota; Clostridia; Peptostreptococcales; Peptostreptococcaceae. The record is from RNAcentral.
CAAGGUGAGAGAUAAGGAGGGAGAGCACUGAAUGUCCUAGGGGGUAUUGCACCUACCGAAGACUAUCAAACUCCGAAUGCCGUCAUCUUAUACUUGGGCGUCAGACUGUGGGUGAUAAGAUUCAUAGUCGAAAGGGCAACAGCCCAGAUCGUCAGCUAAGGUCCCUAAAUGUAAGUUAAGUGGUAAAGGAUGUGGGAUUGCACAGACAACCAGGAUGUUGGCUUAG